AAACUUUCAACAACGGAUCUCUUGGUUCUGGCAUCGAUGAAGAACGCAGCGAAAUGCGAUAAGUAAUGUGAAUUGCAGAAUUUAGUGAAUCAUCGAAUCUUUGAACGCACAUUGCGCCCCUUGGUAUUCCGGGGGGCAUACCUGUUCGAGCGUCAUUA
This 158-nucleotide ribosomal RNA is filed under the name fungal sp. agtS258. RNAcentral describes it as "5.8S ribosomal RNA". It matches the Rfam family "5.8S ribosomal RNA". Rfam says of the family: 5.8S ribosomal RNA (5.8S rRNA) is a component of the large subunit of the eukaryotic ribosome. It is transcribed by RNA polymerase I as part of the 45S precursor that also contains 18S and 28S rRNA. RNAcentral also lists the same sequence under 1 other name. The record is from RNAcentral. Lineage: Eukaryota; Fungi.